AGUGGAUGGGGAGCAACCUAGUUGUGCGUGUGUAAAGGUAGUGCCAAGAAAAGCGGUGAUCAUGAUGAAAAUCAAUUCCCGGUACCCGAAACCGACACAGGUGGGCAAGUAGAGAAUACUAAGGGGCGCGAGGUAACUCUCUCCAAGGAACUCGGCAAAAUGACCCCGUAACUUAGGGAGAAGGGGUGCCACCGAGAGGUGGUCGCAGUGAAGAGGCCCAGGCGACUGUUUAGCAAAAACAUAGGUCUCUGCAAACUCGAAAGAGGAGGUAUAGGGGCUGACGCCUGCCCAGUGCCGGAAGGUUAAAGAAGUUGGUCAGUCUUAGGAUAAAGCUAGCGACUGAAGCCCCGGUGAACGGCGGCCGUAACUAUAACGGUCCUAAGGUAGCGAAAUUCCUUGUCGGGUAAGUUCCGACCCGCACGAAAGGCGUAACGAUCUGGGCGCUGUCUCGGAGAGAGGCUCGGCGAAAUAGGAUUGUCUGUGAAGAUACGGACUACCUGCAUUUGGACAGAAAGACCCUAUGAAGCUUUACUAUAGCUUGGAAUUGUGUUCGGGCUUCCUGUGCGCAGGAUAGGUGGGAGGCGAAGAAGGUAUUCUUGUGGGGAUACUGGAGCCAACGGUGAGAUACCACUCUCAGGAGGCUAUAAUUCUAACUUAAUUAAGGACAGUUUCAGGUGGGUAGUUUGACUGGGGCGGUCGCCUCCAAAAAGGUAACGGAGGCGUACAAAGGUUCCCUCAGACUGGUUGGAAAUCAGUCGCAGAGUGCAAAGGCAGAAGGGAGCUUGACUGCGAGAAGUACAGUUCGAGCAGGGUGGAAACACGGUCUUAGUGAUCCGACGGUGCUGUGUGGAAGGGCCGUCGCCCAACGGAUAAAAGUUACUCUAGGAUAACAGGCUGAUCUCCCCCAAGAGUUCACAUCGACGGGGAGGUUUGGCACCUCGAUGUCGGCUCAUCGCAACCUGGGGCGGAAGUACGUCCCAAGGGUUGGGCUGUUCGCCCAUUAAAGCGGUACGUGAGCUGGGUUCAGAACGUCGUGAGACAGUUCGGUCCAUAUCCGAUGUAGGCGUGAGAAUAUUGAGAGGAGCCUUCCUUAGUACGAGAGGACCGGGAAGGACGCACCGCUGGUGUACCUGUUAUGAUGCCAAUUGUAAACGCAGGGUAGCCAAGUGCGGAGAGGAUAACCGCUGAAAGCAUCUAAGUGGGAAGCCCACCUCAAGAUGAGUAUUCUGGUGUAAGGUCACGGGAAGACGACCCGUAAAUAGGCACGAGGUGGAAGUGCAGAGAUGUAUGAAGCCGAAGUGUACUAAUAGACCGUCGGCUUGACCG
This 1326-nucleotide ribosomal RNA is filed under the name metagenome. RNAcentral describes it as "bacterial LSU rRNA". It matches the Rfam family "Bacterial large subunit ribosomal RNA", at positions 1561 to 2925 of the family's 2925-position model. The record is from RNAcentral.